This is a long non-coding RNA of Herpailurus yagouaroundi (jaguarundi), 1356 nucleotides long. RefSeq lists it as uncharacterized. The transcript has 5 exons. NCBI's taxonomy places the organism in Eukaryota, Metazoa, Chordata, Mammalia, Carnivora, Felidae. The record is from RefSeq and is a predicted model, not a curated record.
UUUUUAAGUUAGUAAUGAUCUCUCCUCAGUUGUAUCUCACCAGCUAUGAUCACCACGGUGCAAACCCACCAUUAUAAUUUGGUCAGACCUCCUCUGCAUCCCUUCACUGAAUAAAGUGUCCACCUUUCGCUCUUCCUUUUUGACGGCCCACACAAGUUGUCUGAAACCUGGGUAUGCUUCCUGCUCCCACUCCAUCUUCUCUUAACUGCUUCAUCUGAAUGCAUUUAAUGACUGCGAGCAGGCUUACAACAUGGCCGUCGUCGUCAAGAAACAUCUUCAGACACAUAAUGGAUUCCAGACCGCAUAUUUUUAAAUGCAGAAGCCUCAGAGUAAGAGCUACCAAUUUUUCAGCGUCUACCGAGGGCCAAGCGUAUGCCAAGCACCACACUUACCUUCUUCUUAAUCUUGGCAACAGUCCUGCAGUGAUAAAGACUCCUGGUUGCCCUCCCAACACACAGUGCAGCCACUAUGCAGAUAAAGGGGCCAAGUAACACAGCUGGCCAAUCAGAUCGACGAGGAAAUUAUUAAGUGUGGUGCCAGAAAAUCUCUUUUCAAAGCAAGUCCAGAUCAGCUGAUGUGCUUUCUUUUCUUCUUCCAUUUCUUCUGCCAAUGCAAACCUACAAUAUUUGAGGUGAAACAGCUAACUGCCAGGUAACAAGAAUGCAUUAAGAUGGGCUGGACAAGAAAAUAGAGAACGCCUCACGUUCUUAAUGACGUUCUAAAACUUAGAGUGGACAAAUGAGGCCCGCCUGGACUGUCUUCCACUGGUAUAUGUGAUAAAAAUAACCCUUGUUUUUCAGGUUUCUUAUUUAUGGAUGAAUGCAAUUCUCAACCAAUUCACCUGCAAAGAAAACAUUGACCUUUCCGUGUCUGAGAGGAGGCAACCAAGCUGGAGCAAAUUCUUCCCUUGUAAGAGAUUUUGUUGAUGGGUCUCCGUGUUGUUUUCCUCUGUGCCCGAGUCUCCACCUUGGUUUCACGCCAGGUGUCCCGGUUCUUCAUCUUCGCAGGGAGUGGAGCUCCGUCCCCAAGCACCAAUUCCCACCGAGGGGUCAACGAUAACUCCUUCCGGACUUUCCCGGAAUUAUGCCUCUGAAAUCAGAUCCAGUGUUCCAAAAAUAAUGGCAUUUCUUAGAACCCGUGGUGUCUCAGAAUUGGUGAAAUAUGGACUGAUCUUGAAUCCUCUGAGCCAUCAACUGUUACUGUGAAAUACUGCUUGUUGGAAAGGUUUAAUUUCCUCUUCAGAAGUAGUCCCUUAGUAGCAUUUUUUCCCUUGAGGAUUGAUUAGGAUGACCAAAAUUAAAUCUCUUUAUAUAUGUAAUAUCCAAAUACAUUCUGCUGUCUAGUUUCACAUCUCAA